UACGUAGGGGGCAAGCGUUGUCCGGAUUUAUUGGGCGUAAAGAGCGUGUAGGCGGCUUUACAGGUCCGUUGUGAAAACUCGAGGCUCAACCUCGAGACGCCGGUGGAAACCGUAAAGCUAGAGUCCGGAAGAGGAGAGUGGAAUUCCUGGUGUAGCGGUGAAAUGCGCAGAUAUCAGGAGGAACACCGGUGGCGAAGGCGGGAUCCUGGGCCAGUACUGACGCUGAGGAGCGAAAGCGUGGGGAGCAAACAGG
Molecule: ribosomal RNA, 253 nt
Filed under: uncultured bacterium
Lineage: Bacteria
Description: partial 16S ribosomal RNA
Rfam family: Bacterial small subunit ribosomal RNA
Source: RNAcentral